This 479-nucleotide ribosomal RNA is filed under the name Lagerstroemia speciosa (giant crepe-myrtle). RNAcentral describes it as "eukaryotic LSU rRNA". Lineage: Eukaryota; Viridiplantae; Streptophyta; Magnoliopsida; Myrtales; Lythraceae. The record is from RNAcentral.
UUGGUGUGAACUGCAGAAUACCGUGAACCAUCGAGUCUUUGAACGCAAGUUGCGCCCGAAGCCAUCCGGCCGAGGGCACGUCUGCCUGGGUGUCACGCAACAUGUCGCCCCUACAGCCCUGCCCCAUCCCACCCCGGGCUUGCGGCAGCGGCAGGGAGCGGACGCUGGCCUCCCGUCGCGCACRGCUGCGGCUGGCCUAAAAACGAGCGAUGGAGCGACGGACUCCGCGACGCACGGUGGUGGUAGAUUCGCCCCUCGGGCAACAGUCCGGACCGUCCCUCCCUCGGCGCUCGGCGGCCUUCCAUCAAACACAUGCGACCCCAGGUCAGGCGGGGCCACCCGCUGAGUUUAAGCAUAUCAAUAAGCGGAGGAAAAGAAACUAACAAGGAUUCCCCUAGUAACGGCGAGCGAACCGGGAAAUGCCCACCAUGAAAAUCGAGCGCCCCCGGCGCUCGAAUUGUAGUCUGGAGAAGCGUCAA